GGGUGAGCCUCCUGAAGGGAGGAGUCUACGACCUGCGUAGAAGCCGCGUGGUGCCGCCAGUGUGAGGUCGCUUGCUCGACGUAGGUAAAGAAGACAAUCUGAAGAUGAAGAAGGCAACUUUCCAGUAAUGGGGACAAAAAUGGUAUCGUAGCUUAGAGCUCUUUUUCAAUAUACCAUACCACCUCUCUUGGACAUUUUAAGGCCUACUCAAAUAACAUCAACUCUGCAGUCCAUGGGUCAAGUUGUAAUUUCAACUUUCAAAUCUUAUUAUUUAAGAAAUACAUUUUAUAAGGCUAUAGCUGCCAUAGUUAGUGGUUCUUCUGAGGGAUCUGAGCAAAGUAAAUUGAAAAACUUUUAGAAAGAAUUAACCAUUCUGGGUGCCAUUAAGAACAUUUGUGACCUAUGAGAGGAGGUCACAAUAUCAGUAUUAACUGGAGUUUGGAAGAAGUUGGUUCUAACCCUCAUGGAUGACUGAGAGAUUCAGGACUUCAGUGGAAGAAGUAACUGCAGAUGUGGUGGAAACAGCAAGAGAACUUGAAGUGGAACUUGAAUAUGUGACUGAAUUGCUGCAAUUUCAUGAUAAAACAUUAAUGGAUAAUUAGUUGCUUUUUAUGAAGGAGCAAGGGAAGUGGUUUAUUUUUUUUAAAAUGAUUUAUUAAUUUAAAGAGUUAUUGAGAGGGAGAGAGAGAGCGAGAGAGCUCGUCUAUCCUCUGGUUCACU
Molecule: long non-coding RNA, 720 nt
Organism: Lepus europaeus (European hare)
Lineage: Eukaryota; Metazoa; Chordata; Mammalia; Lagomorpha; Leporidae
Exons: 3
Source: RefSeq, a predicted model, not a curated record